AUUGAACGCUGGCGGCAGGCUUAACACAUGCAAGUCGAGCGAGCGGCGGACGGGUGAGUAAUGUCUGGGAAACCACCCGAUGGUGGGGGAUAACUACUGGAACCGGUAGCAAAUACCGUAUAACAUCAGAUGUCCCCAGAUGGGAUUAGCUAGUAGGUGGGGUAAUGGCUCACCUAGGCGCCGAUCCCUAGCUGGUCUGAGAGGAUGCCCAGCCACACUGGAGCUGAGACACGGUCCAGACUCCUACGGGAGGCAGCAGUGGGGAAUAUUGCACAAUGGGCGCAAGCCUGAUGCAGCCAUGCCGCGUGUGUGAAGAAGGCCUUCGGGUUGUAAAGCACUUUCAGCGAGGAGGCGUUACUCGCAGAAGAAGCACCGGCUAACUCCGUGCCAGCAGCCGCGGUAAUUC
This 406-nucleotide ribosomal RNA is filed under the name uncultured bacterium. RNAcentral's name for it is "partial 16S ribosomal RNA". It matches the Rfam family "Bacterial small subunit ribosomal RNA", at positions 30 to 526 of the family's 1533-position model. The record is from RNAcentral.